CAAAAACAUUGCUUUCUGAGAAAGAUAGAAAGUAUGGUCUGCCCAGUGAGUGAUUUUAACGGCCGCAAUAUUUGUGCGAAGGUAGCAUAAUCAUUUGUCUUUUAAUUGAUGACUGGAAUGAAUGGCUGGACGGGGAAAUACUGUCUUAUUUAUAUUUAUUUGAAAUUUACUUUCAAGUUAAAAGGCUUGAAUUUUAUAGAGGGACGAGAAGACCCUAUAGAGUUUUAUAGAGGAUAUUUAAAUUUUUCUUUAAUUUAAUAUUUUAUUAUUUAGUUGGGGAGACAUUGUAAUAAAAUCUAUAUAAGAAUUAAUAGACAAUAAGUUUUUAUGAUCCAUAAUUUAUGAUAGUUAGAUUAAAUUACCUUAGGGAUAACAGCGUAAUAUUUUUUUAGAGUCCAAAUCGAUUAAAAUGCUUGCGACCUCGAUGUUGGAUUAAAGAACCUAAUUUGGAGAAGAAGCUAAUUUAGGUAGUCUGUUCGACUAUUAAAUCUUUAC
This 495-nucleotide ribosomal RNA is filed under the name Pentanymphon antarcticum. RNAcentral describes it as "partial 16S ribosomal RNA". It matches the Rfam family "Bacterial large subunit ribosomal RNA", at positions 1808 to 2599 of the family's 2925-position model. The record is from RNAcentral. Lineage: Eukaryota; Metazoa; Arthropoda; Pycnogonida; Pantopoda; Nymphonidae.